This 4623-nucleotide long non-coding RNA is filed under the name Homo sapiens (human). RNAcentral's name for it is "HSALNT0078213". The record is from RNAcentral. Lineage: Eukaryota; Metazoa; Chordata; Mammalia; Primates; Hominidae.
UAAAUACUAACACCUGGAGGUCUGGAGGUGGCUGAGACCUAUUCUAUCUGAUGUGAUAUAUUUUGCUGUGAAUCUGAAAACUAUAUAUACAUAUAUCAUUUGUCUUAUAUUUAGGAUAUAGAGGCCUGGAAACCGAGAGAUGGAUUUAAAAGUACUUCCUCUCAACUGUACUUCAAAUGGCCCUUCAGAUUCAUUUUUCUCCUGUUUAAUAAUGUCAGCUCUGUUAGUUUAGAGAUCUACUUCCCAACAGAAUAAUGUUUCCACCCAGGGACACAGUGGUUGCAUUUAGUGGUAAGUCAGGAUUGUCAUCCUAGUUUUUUGUACUUUCUGAGUCUCUGAGCCAAUAGAGAAGUUACUGUACUGGCUUGAGUGAUCAGCUGUUAUUAUUAAGAAGAAUGUGAGGUGGAGAGGGGGCAGGAGCAGUAGCUCAAGCCUAAAAUCCCAGCAAAAGAUCACUGGAGGCCAGGAGUUCGAGACCAGCCUAGAUGACAUAGAGACCUCAUUUCUCCAAAAAAAAUUAAUUAGGCAUGAUGAUGCACACUUGGAAGGCUGAGGUGGAAGAAUCACUUGAGUCCCAGAUGUUGAGGCUGUAGUGAACUGGGAUUGCUCCCCUACACUCCAGCUUGGGUGACAGAGCAAGGCAGAAAGAAAAGAAAAGAAAAGGAAAGAGGAGAAAAGAGGAGAAGAGAAGAGAGAAAAGAAAAGAAAGAAAAUAAAAGGAAAAAAGAAAAGAAAAAGAACGAGGGGGUUCCUGUUACAUAUAACGGCAAAGGAGGAGAGUGGAUGGAGUCUAGAAAAUUGUUUAGAUUACCAUUUGGUACUUUAUGUCCAGUGGUAAAAGUUAGUGGAAGACUAUGUCAACUAAAUACAAACAGGAGAACUAAAGCUCAUCAUGUGUCAAAAUAAGGGUUUUGAGUCACCCUGGCAAGCACAGACCCUUCAGUAGGUAUUUUGACUGAGAACAAUGGAAAAUAUAACAGCUAGUGGCUGCUGGAAGUUGUAAGUAACAACAAUGAUAAGAUUAGAAGAACUACUGAAAUGUCCAAAUCUGAGGCACUAUUCAAGAGUCAUUCAUAUUGGAUUCUAUGUAAAGGCACACACUCACAGCACAAAACUAGUGCUAGAACAAAUAUGAAAUAUCACCCCAAAAGUUCUUCAGUGCAGUCUCCUAAGCUAUGAUUUCAUAACUAACAAGGACUGUGAAAAUGAUACAAAUUUUCUUUGUUCUAUAGUCUGUCUAUGCCAUGAUGGUGGUCAUGAAAAUCAAAUUUAUCAGCUCCCAAUUUAUCAGCUAAAUUGACAGGAUGUCAAUUUAGAUUUGUACCUGAGCCACAGGAAUAGUGAUCAUCACCAAAAGAUGAAAGAACUCUUUCGUAGGGGAGAAAGAUAACCCAUCCCUGUUUAUGGGUAAGAGGGUUGCAUUAUAUCAGGAACAUAUUACUGUUGCAAUUCCUGCUGCUUUAUUAGGUUUGUUUGUGGAGUUUCCUAGCGGGAGAAUUAGGAAAGAUAUCAUCAAAAGGUUCCUUCUGAAAACAUUCCAGUUCCCUUUAAGUAUGCCUUUGGUGUUGUGGAUUCUAGAAUGCUAAUCUUUGUCUCUCCAUGAUUCCCACAUAGCCUGGGUCCUGGAUAGGAUUUAGAUUCCACAGAUACUCUCACAGUGCCAUUUGGCUGUAGAAAAGAACUAAAUGUGAAGAAAAGCAGGAUAUAAAACAUUUAUUUGCUGGCAUGUAUAGAAAUAUAACUGGUGUCAUUCUGCUGUCAGCAUGUCAGAAGAUUUUAGACUUUUCUGCAGUGGUUAUGAAAGCUUUAACCAUGUUACAGGGGCAGACUGAUACUGGAGUUUGAAAGCUACUCUUGGAGACAUGGGCUGCCUACUAUUUUGGCCUUCCAACAAUUUUAUAAGAAACUCAAUAGAUAACGAUAAAUACCUUCAAGCUUAAAAUCGCGAUUAUGAUUUCUGCUGUGCGCAAUGAAACUCUGAGUGAAACAGUCCUCCAGGAUUUUGAAGUCCUCUGCAUCCGGGCAGUGGAACAGAAGUGUGGAGAAGAUUCAUCAUCUGCUUCUUAAAUGCCCUAGUCAGAAAGGGGUACUCAUCAUUUCUGUUCAUAUUUUAUACGGCUACAAAUAGAUGUGAGAAGAGCAAGAAAACAUAGUCCUGGCAAGGCAGUUGCCUUCUGAUGACAACUCUGCACUCUGGAGGUAGACAAAUUUUGGUCAAUAGCUGGCAGUUUUAGCCAUAUUAGUCCAGUACUCACCUUCACAAAUGAGGAAACUUAAGACUCGGCCAUUGUUGAUCUAACACAUACUUACUGUUUUUUAUUGUGUUUUCUUGAUCUAAUGGUAUUUUGAAACACAAUGGGUAGGACUAAAAUAUGGACCAUUUGAAAGGAGGAAAUGUUAGAUUAUUAUACUAGGCAAAUAAUGUUGCCAAUAUAUUUGCACAAUUAUGGGACAUAGACUUUCAUUUUCCUGUUUAAAAUAAGUAUGUAGUAUUAAAGAAUUAACAUAAAAUAUGGCAUUAUUAAGAAGAUCUAUGAUUUUGGUGCCUGGUCCUUAUUUAGGAGUUUAGCACCCUGGUUACAUAUAUCAUAAUAAUGAAAAAGCAUUAUUCUGUUUUAUGCUGCCUGCAGAAAAAAAAAGGAUGAAAAAUAGAUACUGUCUGUGCAGUAUGAGCCACAGUAUAAAUGUGCAGAAUAUGAUCUAAGUGGAGGAUAAUAAAAAUUUUGAAAGCAGUAUUUGCAAAACUUGUUCCAAACUUCCUCAUUAAUCAGCACAAAUAUUUUUCUAAGUAUACAUUGGAAGGCCUUUGCACUUAACUCAAUUAUUGAAGUAGUAGGAAAAUUAUGCUCUACUGUGUAUAAAAUAUUUCUAAGCUAUUCAAAGAAGACACUACAAAGAUAUUUAAAGAAGAUACUAUAAUAUAGAAAAACACUUCAUGCAGAUGUAUCAAUUAUUAGUAUCUCAUCACUGUAUGGCGUUCUUAACUAAGUUGAAAUUGUUUUCAAAUACUGGUUGAAUAAGUGAAGAAGGAAAAUUGUAUUGUGUUAACAGAAAUAUGUGUUCAUUCACCCACCCACUGAACACCUAUUUUGUGCCAGACGUUGUUCUGGACACUAGGGAUCCAGCAGGGAAUAAAAUACAUGAGUUUCCCACUUGCUUAUUUUUCCCUUACUUUACAAACCUGGAACUCUUUAAACAACAAACUGAAAAACACCACACAAAAUUAGGCAGCUAUCUUUGAAGAGUGAAUUUGCUUGGAAUUGCCUGCUUUGAGCAUCAUAAGUUUGAUGAGGUAUGAAGCAAAAAUACAGAUGUACAACAUUAAUUAAAAUAACCAGCAAUUCCACCAGAGGAUUCCAAAAGGGAUUUAAAGACUCACCCUGCCAGAACAGAGACGGAGCCAGAAAAGGGUGAUGAAGCAGAUUUACAAGACCGGCUCUCAGAAAAUUUGCUUGGACAUGCAGAACCAUGCUUUCAAGUACUAUUGUUACCAACGCGAAUCUGCAGCGAAAGUGAUCCUUGCCUCUCUGGAGGACAGAAUUUGGCUGAGGGGCAGAAGUAUGUUUAAGGCAGAGGGAGAGACUGAGGCAAGUUUUAGAGCAAAAGUGAGAGUUUAUUAAAAAGUUUUAGAGCCUGAGUGAAAGGAAGCAAAGCACACUUGGAAGAGGGUCAAGUGGGUUCCUUGAGAGAUCCAAGUGCCCCGUCCAACCUUUGGCUUGGGAUUUUAAUACAUUGGCUUGGUUCCGGGAUUUGAGUUUCUCCUCCCUUGAUUUCUCCCUUGCGGCAGGCUGUCCACAGGCACAGUGGCCCGCCAGCACUUGGGAAGGGGUGCAUACACAGUGUGUUUACUGAAGUUGUGUGCAUGCUCACUUGAGGUGUUUUUCCCCUCAUUAGACAAAAAUUCCCAGAGGAAGGUUAUAUACCAGUUAAACUUUGCCAUUUUGCCUCUUAGUGCAUGCUUGAGCCCACUAGCCCAAUCCCUGAGAUCUUAUCGGGAAGCUGCUGCUCCUCCACAGCUCCAGGAGUUUCCUAUUUAUUGGGAGACUGUCGGUCCCUAGUACCAGCUGUGACCAAUUAUAAUUUCAGAGACACAGUUUAACAACCACCUGACCAUUACCUGAUGGUCCCCUGAAGUUCUCUGGGGUUGGGAGAGGCUCUCCUGCCUGGCUCAUGUCUGCCUAACUACCUACUCUAACAUUAUGACUUGGAGAAAUACUUAUUGGGGACUUUUAAAAAACUGCAGAGUAUCAUAAGACUUUUGGCUAUGAGGAUUUACCAGUUGCAGAAUAAAGAAUUUUAAAAUAAUUUGUCUUUGAAGAUAUUACCUUCUGAUAUAUUGCAAGUAAGGUAUUGAGAAGUCAAUAGGGUUUGGUGCCAGGUUUCUGAUGGAGAAUUUGAAGAUACGUGUUUACAUUUCUAUAAAGUAAAUUUGACUGUCUGAGUCACAUAUAUCUUGGUCAUAAUUCACAAUUAUUAGGAAAUUUGAAAAUAAUUUUUUUAACAAAAGCAAAUUUGAGAAAGUCUAUUUUUAAAGUUGCUAAAAUAAGGGGCUCAGUAUAUUUUUAGUAAUUGGAAGACUGGUUGAUUGAGAAAUACAAAUUUUUCAGUAAAAAUGUAUUUUCU